AGAGAGAGACAUGCGCGCAUAUCAAUAAGCGGAGGAAAAGAAACUAACAAGGAUUCCCCUAGUAACGGCGAGUGAAGCGGGAAGAGCUCAAAUUUGAAAUCUUAAAGGGUUUCCCUUUACGAAUUGUAGUUUAAAGAAGUGUUUUCUGUUGAGGUUUUGGUAAAAGCUCUUUGGAAUAGGACAUCAUAGAGGGUGAGAAUCCCGUAUUUGACCAUUUACUUCAAGCGUUGUGAUACACUUUCAAAGAGUCGGAUUGUUUGGGAAUGCAGUCCAAAAUGGGUGGUAAAUUUCAUCUAAAGCUAAAUAUUGGCGAGAGACCGAUAGCGAACAAGUACCGUGAGGGAAAGAUGAAAAGAACUUUGAAAAGAGAGUUAAACAGUACGUGAAAUUGUCAAAAGGGAAGCGUUUGACACCAGUGUUGUUUUUCUGAAAAUCAAUUAAAGAACUGUUUAUGCUAAGUUGUUUAGACUUUAUCAGCUAACUGUUUAGUUUUGAGCUUUUCUUUAAUGCACUUUUCAGUUAACAAGUCAACAUCAAUUUCUUUUGCUGUAAAAAAGCUUGAGGAAGGUGGCCUGAGAUUCGUCUUAAGUGUUUAUAGCCUCUUGCCUAUGCAGUCGGAGAGAUUGAGGUCUGCAGCGUAGAUCCUUCGGGGCUAAAUGCAUUUGUGCUAAGUUAUAGUAUUUUAUAGACAACUUGUUGACUAUGAUUUGUCUUGUAGCUUACUCGCUUAUGUUAUUUUACCUACGCUUAGGAUGUUGAGCGCAUGUCUCUCUCU
RNAcentral lists this ribosomal RNA (775 nucleotides) under uncultured Neocallimastigales. RNAcentral describes it as "partial large subunit ribosomal RNA". It matches the Rfam family "Eukaryotic large subunit ribosomal RNA", at positions 23 to 616 of the family's 3401-position model. Lineage: Eukaryota; Fungi; Neocallimastigomycota; Neocallimastigomycetes; Neocallimastigales. The record is from RNAcentral.